AAGAUCAAAUGGGUGCAGUCUAAACUUAGCAAAAGGAAAUUUUUAAUUGAUUAAAACCUAAACUAGAAUUAAAACUUAACAAAUAAUGCAUUUAAAUAGUAAUUCAAAAUCAGAGAUGCAACUGCAAGGAAAUGACUAGAACUCAAACUCUAUCAAUUUGUAGAACUUAAAUAAAUGAAACAAUAAAAGGCUAAAUAAUUGUUAAUUCUACUAGACUAAGACAUUAUAUCAGCUUAGGGAAAUAGAAUCGUCAACUGAAAUGCUGAAUCUUAGAGACGAAACCUAGGAUAACUAAAAUCGUACAAUUGGAAACAUGUUUUUCCUUCUUUUGUUUAAUCUAAUAAACAACAUGCAGCCAGAAUAAAACGAUUAAAUAUGUAAAAGAAGAACAAAAGAUAAAACCAAACAACAGAAGAAAAGAAAGAGAUUUACCUAAGUUUUAUUUCAAAAUUGAAUCAAUUUAUGAACUAGUCCAAACUCUUUAAAGCGUAAAUGAACUUUGAAUACCAUUAAUCUAUAUAUAUAUUAAUACUGCGUAUCUUAAAUUUUUUUUCGUAAUUGAGACAAACUAUUGGGUUCAAUGACCAGGCCCAAAGGCCUAAGCCCAGGCUUAUUGAAAUUUGUUCCCCAUCUGGUCUCAAUCGCAAAUCUGGCCAAAACUUUAUGUUACGUUUAAACCCUUCUAUGAUGAUAGGCUAUGCAGAGAAAUCAUAUUGCCACAAAACCUAAGCUAAUAAUCAGAAACAAUCAAAUUUUUUUUAUGUUAAAAUAGUUCAAAAGUCCAUAAAUUUACAACAUGAUCCAUAGAUUUACUUCCGCCCGCUUACUAUGAAUUUACAAUAUAUUCCUAAAUGUAACUAACAUCUCAAAAAAUAAAAUGAAAAGAAAAAUAACAAUUCCCCUAAUUUCAGGACUUCCACUGCCACCAGAACUUCUUAAAACAAGCUUCAUACUUGUAAGAAAUAAGCUAUAGAGCUGUUGCUCACAAGUCAACCUCCCAACCUUGAGAUAUCUUGACCUUGUGUCACUCACAUACAAGACAACAGAGAUAAAAGCAGGUUUCAGCAUUUUUGAGAUUCAUUAACUAACAUUUUUUUAAUCUAAAUGAUAAAUAAUCAAACAAAAGAGAAAGGAGACCAUUAAGUCAUGGAAUAUUCAUGUUUCAAAUAGUCACAUAUACUACAUUCAUACCAAAACAUCCAAGUAUCGCAUGGAAGCUCAUUCAUUAUACAUGUUUUAUCACAAGCAUACUGAUGUUAUAUUACUUCAAAAAAAAAAAAAACAAUACAUGAGAGGAGGUGGAAUACCUUGUAACAAUAUGAAACAAGCAGUAAAAAAGGCUGAAUACUAGUUCAGAAUUUUGGAAAAGAAGUAGCCAACAAAAAUAGACAGCAACAGUGAGAAUCAAACCCAAAAAAUACCCAAAAUCAACCUAAUCAGAAGACCACCAAAAAUAGAAUACCGGCCUACAAUUCUAACCGGUAAAGUUGAAGUUUUUCAAAGAACCUUUUAGGAAUUUUCUCUUUGUUUUUCAGAACUUUAAGUGGCGAAAAUACUAAGGAAUAUCGAAUGUUGAUGAUUGCUAAUGAUUGUGUGUGUGAUUGUGUGAGAGAAUGUUUCCGUUUGUAGAGUGCAAAAAGCAACCCAAAAAGAAAUAUUCCGAUCUAGUACAAUGUAUUUUUACAGCUGUAUUGUCCUUUUUCUUUAUCCAAAACUAGUAUUUGCUAAGGAUAAGGACAACUAUCCUAAGUUCCAGAAAUUUUCUAAUUUUACCCAAUGUGAAACCCCAAUUUUAUCCUUUGAAUUACCACCUAUUUCAGUUUUAUCCUAAACUUGUAGGUUUAGUUAAGUCCCUAAAGUUUCUAUCUGUGAGCAAAUUAGAACAAAUAAGGACAAACCUAAAAUUGGUUGGAAAUUUGGAUAAAAAUGCCUAAGAAGAUCAAAUGGGUGCAGUCUAAACUUAGCAAAAGGAAAUUUUUAAUUGAUUAAAACCUAAACUAGAAUUAAAACUUAACAAAUAAUGCAUUUAAAUAGUAAUUCAAAAUCAGAGAUGCAACUGCAAGGAAAUGACUAGAACUCAAACUCUAUCAAUUUGUAGAACUUAAAUAAAUGAAACAAUAAAAGGCUAAAUAAUUGUUAAUUCUACUAGACUAAGACAUUAUAUCAGCUUAGGGAAAUAGAAUCGUCAACUGAAAUGCUGAAUCUUAGAGACGAAACCUAGGAUAACUAAAAUCGUACAAUUGGAAACAUGUUUUUCCUUCUUUUGUUUAAUCUAAUAAACAACAUGCAGCCAGAAUAAAACGAUUAAAUAUGUAAAAGAAGAACAAAAGAUAAAACCAAACAACAGAAGAAAAGAAAGAGAUUUACCUAAGUUUUAUUUCAAAAUUGAAUCAAUUUAUGAACUAGUCCAAACUCUUUAAAGCGUAAAUGAACUUUGAAUACCAUUAAUCGAUUGAUCUUAACAAGAACUGUUCACUAAUGGAGGUUUCGCUUGACCAGAUAUAGACCAAGAAAAGAGAAAGAAAUUUGAGUUUCAGAUUCAAAAUUAGGUCGAUUUUGGGAUCGUUCAAAAGGGAAUAUGGGGAUAUCUGGGGAGAGGAGGUGAUGGUGACUAUUUGGUGUGAAUUUGGUGGGAUUUGGAAUAGUUAAGGUUUUAGACGGAUUUUCGAUCUAAAAUUCGAGGGUUUAGGCUGGGAUUCGAGGUAAAGGAUCUUUCAAGGUGUAAAUUUGAGGAGAUUUGGCCGUGAUCCGCUGCCGUGAAGCGAUUUUCGACCGGCGAACUACGGUGGAAUUGGGCAGAGCCAGCGAGUGAUAUAAAUGCGGCUAGGGUUUAGAGUUUAGAGAGACUCUGGAGACUGUGAGUGAGGGCUCUUUUGUGGGGUAAGGGGUUCUGGUUUUCGG
RNAcentral lists this long non-coding RNA (2901 nucleotides) under Nicotiana benthamiana. RNAcentral describes it as "long non-coding RNA (NBEN_LNC032133)". Lineage: Eukaryota; Viridiplantae; Streptophyta; Magnoliopsida; Solanales; Solanaceae. The record is from RNAcentral.